RNAcentral lists this microRNA (21 nucleotides) under Picea abies (Norway spruce). RNAcentral's name for it is "pab-miR11421". The record is from miRBase by way of RNAcentral. Lineage: Eukaryota; Viridiplantae; Streptophyta; Pinopsida; Pinales; Pinaceae.
ACUAUUGUGAGCUUUGGUGCA